RNAcentral lists this transfer RNA (64 nucleotides) under Blautia producta. It matches the Rfam family "tRNA", at positions 6 to 65 of the family's 71-position model. Rfam says of the family: Transfer RNA (tRNA) molecules are approximately 80 nucleotides in length. Their secondary structure includes four short double-helical elements and three loops (D, anti-codon, and T loops). RNAcentral also lists the same sequence under 3 other names. Lineage: Bacteria; Bacillati; Bacillota; Clostridia; Lachnospirales; Lachnospiraceae. The record is from RNAcentral.
UUGUAGCUCAGUUGGAUAGAGCAACGGCCUUCUAAGCCGUGGGUCGGGGGUUCGAAUCCCUUCA